This 403-nucleotide ribosomal RNA is filed under the name uncultured bacterium. RNAcentral describes it as "partial 16S ribosomal RNA". It matches the Rfam family "Bacterial small subunit ribosomal RNA", at positions 29 to 526 of the family's 1533-position model. The record is from RNAcentral.
AUUGAACGCUGGCGGCAGGCCUAACACAUGCAAGUCGAGCGAGCGGCGGACGGGUGAGGAAUGUAUGGGGACUGCCCGAUAGAGGGGGAUAACUACUGGAAACGGUGGCUAAAACCGCAUACUAACGGAGAACCCAUAUGGGAUUAGCUAGUAGGUGGGGUAAAGGCGCACCGAGGCGACGAUCUCUCGCUGUUCUGCGAGGAGGAGCAGCCACCCUGGGACUGUGACACGCCCCAGGCUCCUACGGCGGCGGCAGUGGGGAUGAUUGCACAAUGGGCGCAAGCCUGAUGCAGCCAUUCCGCGUGUAUGAAGAAGGCCUUAGGGUUGUAAAGUACUGUCAGCGGGGAGGCGUUACCCGCAGAAGAAGCACCGGCUAACUCCGUGCCAGCAGCCGCGGUAAUUC